Long non-coding RNA from Nannospalax galili (Upper Galilee mountains blind mole rat), 942 nucleotides. RefSeq lists it as uncharacterized. The record is from RefSeq and is a predicted model, not a curated record. The transcript is spliced from 3 exons. NCBI's taxonomy places the organism in Eukaryota, Metazoa, Chordata, Mammalia, Rodentia, Spalacidae.
UUCCUACCUUGGGCUCCCUGAUGAACUGUGACCCAGGAGAUGUAAGAGAAAUAAACUGUUUCCUCCCCAAGUUAGUAGUGGUUACAGUGUUUUGUCACAGCAAUGUAGAAACAAACUAGAACAGGGUUAUAUCAUCCCUGACCCCUCCCUGCCACAUUCUCUGCUCUGUGGUUGGUGUUGUGUUUGAAGCACAUGCUGUACAUUACGAUAGCUAUACCAGAGCCCUCUUGCCACCGCCAAGCCUUUAGUACCAGGAUGGGUGUACCCUCUCAAACCGAGCCAAAAUAAACCUCCUGUCCUGUGAUGGUUCAUAUCAACUUGAUAGGCUCUAGAAUCACCUAAGAGAGACAAACCUCUGGGCAUGACUAUGAGGGUUUUUCUAGAUUGGGUUAUCUUGAGGAGGGAAAACCUACCCUUAAUGUUGGUGGCACCAUUCCAUGGGCUGGGGUCCUGAACUGAAUAAAAAAAAAGAUGAAGAGAGAUAAAGAAUGCAGUACCAGCAUUCAUCUCUCUGUUUCCUGACUUCAGAUGCAGCGUGAACAGCUGCCUUUCACUUCUGUUGCCAUGACUUCCCCAGCAUGAUGGACUGUACCCUGGAACUAAUCAUCCUUCAGGACAAUGUUUUCAAAGUUUGAUACAAGAACCUGCAUAAAGAUCAUGCCCCAGAUGCACUCAGUCAAACCCCUGGAGGAGGGGCCCAUGAGAAACGCUGUGAAUGAAUUCUCUGAGAAAUGCUAUUUUAAGAAAAGAUACUUCAAAUGGAUUCUGAGGUAGAACAGAUGGAUGACCACCUGGCCCCAUGUGACUUGAGCAGUUGGAUUCAUUCCUUUUCUUCAAGUUGAUGCCUCAGCCAAGAAUCUGUGUCGGCAACCAAGAGAGCCAGAGAGGCGGGUCUGGAUCUGGAGUGCUCCUUUGACUGGAUUUAUCACCAGAAUUCUUAUG